GGCCUAAUGGUCUAGUAGUAUGAUUCUCGCUUUGGGAGUGUCUCCGCAUGCGAGAGGUCCUGGGUUCAAUUCCCAGUUAGGCCC
Non-coding RNA from Stygiomarasmius scandens, 84 nucleotides. Lineage: Eukaryota; Fungi; Basidiomycota; Agaricomycetes; Agaricales; Campanellaceae. The record is from the annotation of a GenBank genome assembly.